GUUACUUUGGCAGAUUAGUGCAAUUGAUUUAGGGUCUUUUUAUGUAUUUAUACAUGUAAUA
This 61-nucleotide transfer RNA is filed under the name Diaphanes citrinus. RNAcentral's name for it is "tRNA-Leu". The record is from RNAcentral. Lineage: Eukaryota; Metazoa; Arthropoda; Insecta; Coleoptera; Lampyridae.